RNAcentral lists this long non-coding RNA (2092 nucleotides) under Homo sapiens (human). RNAcentral describes it as "non-protein coding lnc-PRKCD-2:1". Lineage: Eukaryota; Metazoa; Chordata; Mammalia; Primates; Hominidae. The record is from RNAcentral.
GCACGGACGCAGGGCGCAUGCGCCCGCGCCCCCCCACCCCCAGCUCCGCGGUCCUCCAGGCAGCCUGCGCCCCUCGCGCCGCGCCCGUGGAGCUCCCGGGCCCGGCUGCCCCGCUCCCGCCCCAGCGCCAUCCCUCCUGGCUGGGGCCGCGCGGGAGGCAAGGACUCCGCGGGCUGGUGUGCCGGGGGUCCGGCGCCGCGGGCCACCCACGCCCCCAGCCAGCAACUCGGCGCGGACGGCCCCGAGGCCGUGGCGCAGGACACGCGGCGGCGCCUCGGGCCCCCGACGGCGCUGUGGCCCCGAGCGGAACGGCCCGGAAGAGGAGACGCGUCCCCGGGAACCCAGUGCCCGCCCUGGCCCAGCCCCGAUCCAGCCUGCGCCUCACCUCGGGUUGUAGACAGAGCGGCGGGGAUCCCAGAGGGGUUCGCGGGUCGGACCUGGAGUACCGGCCCGGCGAAGCGCGCCGCUGUCGCCCGCACGUGACUGGCUCGGACAAGAUGGCAUGAGCGGAGAAGCGGCCGGAUCCCAGAUGCGCGCGUGCCGCCGCCGCGGGCACUGCGCCCGUUUGCCUGCCCCUCGUCGGGGAUCGGGCGCUCCCUCUGAGACCUGAAAGGGCACCCAAGUGCCCCCUGUCUGCGAAGUCCGGCGCGGGCCCUUCGGCGCCCCCGAUGUCUCUAGGCUUCCGCAGGAGGCGCCCUGUAAAUCUUGAGUCUUCCUGCAGCGAGGGGGCACAGGACAGCUGCGAAUUGGGACGAACGAGCCCAGAGCCCCGGGAAGGAUCAGAACCUCGAAGGCGGCUUCAAGUCGGCCCCGCAGCCCGAGGUGACCGUGGGCGGUUACGUUGCCCGAGCUCGCCCCCUCCUCCUGAGCGCAGGUGCCCGUGGGACAUACACCCGCCCACCUGCUCCGGAAAGUUCCCUCCAGAAGGGAGUUCCCGCGCCACCGAGACCCGGGAGCUCCCGAUCAGACUCCCAGGCCGUGAAAGGCGUUAUCGGACAGGGCCCAGAGGCGCCCCCACAGCAAGAAGAAAGUCUGGGGUUCUCACCGUGUGCCAGGUGCGAGCUCAAGCCACCUCCCUCAACCGCUCUGAGAAAUAUCCCACUUCACAAACUUGCUCAAAGUCACGCUGCUGGCUGGAUUUGAAUCCAGAUUUUUUUUAGCACCACUGAAAAAACAAUAUGACAACCGGAGAAAGAAAAAUCUAAAAAGAAUACAGUAAUCCAUAUUGUUACAAAGAAAUGCAACUUUUCACGACAUGAAACAUAUAUAUACUGUGUAUAGUUGCAACCACACUUUUUUUGUUACUACUUUCACUACCAUUUUUAUUUGUUCACGAUUCAUUUUUAAGGUGUGCAGGUGUCCUUAACUAUUCACUCAGCCCCCUAAUGUUUUUGGUUCUUUACGGUUGUUUGCUAACGUAUCCUUGAAUUCUGCACUUGGGACAAAUACCUGGGAGUGGAAAGGCUCCCAGGUAGAAGGCUAUGAAUGGCCAAGUGGUCUUGGCUUACAGCGUCAUAUUUUUCCCAAGAGCUGCCCCAAUUAUUCUACCGCCUCCAAGGAACAAGUGUAAGGAGUUUAACACACUUAUAAACAUUGAGUGCCAUUUCCCCCCUACUUUAAUAGUCUAUUGCUAGUUCAAGGUUACUUAGCAUUUCUUAGGUGACACAACAUUCAAAAAUGAAUGUUUUUCCAUGCAUUUACUAUAUGCAUUCCCUCUCCUGUGAAUAAUCUAUUCAUAUCCAUCUUCUGGGGACUUGAACCUCUUCUAACUUUGAACAAGCAUUUUUUUAUGUUACAGAUAUUACUUCUUUGUCGUCAUUGAUGCAAAUAUUUUCUAGCCUGUUGUUCUUUCUUGUUUUAUUCUAAUGUUCAGUGUGUCAUUCUAAUGUUUUAAUUGCUUCAGUGCUGACAAAGUGAGCUUUCUGCUGCCCAUCUGAUAGUCUUUUUUCUGCUAGUUUUGUACAAUUUCAUUUCAUAUUUCAUUCUCUGAUGACUAUCCCGAUUUUAUUUUGGCUUAUUUAUUUGGAGUAAAAUAUGGACAUAACUCACUACCACUGUCAUCGGUUGUUAUUAAUUCUGCAGUUACCAUUUA